GUGAGGAAUAUUGGACAAUGGGCGCAAGCCUGAUCCAGCCAUGCCGCGUGCAGGAAGACGGCCCUAUGGGUUGUAAACUGCUUUUAUACGGGAGCAAUAAGGUCUAUGCAUAGAUUGAUGAGAGUACCGUAUGAAUAAGCAUCGGCUAACUCCGUGCCAGCAGCCGCGGUAAUACGGAGGAUGCGAGCGUUAUCCGGAUUUAUUGGGUUUAAAGGGUGCGUAGGCGGCUUUGUAAGUCAGCGGUGAAAUUUUGCAGCUUAACUGUAAAAGCGCCGUUGAUACUGUGAAGCUAGGAUUUGGUUGCUGUGGGCGGAAUGUGUGGUGUAGCGGUGAAAUGCAUAGAGAUCACACAGAAUAUCGAUUGCGAAGGCAGCUCACAAAGCCAAUAUUGACGCUGAGGCACGAAAGUGUGGGGAUCAAACAGGAUUAGAAACCCCUGUAGUCC
Molecule: ribosomal RNA, 445 nt
Filed under: uncultured bacterium
Lineage: Bacteria
Description: partial 16S ribosomal RNA
Rfam family: Bacterial small subunit ribosomal RNA
Source: RNAcentral